CGGGAGAAAAGGCCGCCCGAGGGGAAGUCACUCCCGUGAGGGCACGGCUGUUGCAAGGGAAUGAAUCCAGCGCAACUGGCAGCGCAACUGUGGCAGCUGGCGACAAACAGCGCCCAGCUUAGGCGAGGGCACCAAAACGCAGAGCCCAAGGCCGACGGUGAAAAACUGGCCAUGGGUUAAUUUAUUUAGGCCUUCGAAAAUUGGUUCCAAGCACCCAGCCAAACAAGGUGACCAAAAUGCAGAGCCCAAGGCCAAAGAUGCAUCAACUCUGCAAUAUUCUGACUGAGUAGCAUUCUGAAGAAUGUUGUCAGAAUUUCCAAAGAGCAAAAGCAGAACCAAAGAUUCCCAUCAAACUAACAGAAGAUAAGAGGUUUUCUAUAAAGGAAAAUUUGGAUAUGAAUACAGUGAUGAAUCUGGCAGAGAGUACUGUGAGCUUUAUUUUUCGUUCUCCUGUAACAUCCUGAAAAAUUGUUCUGCAGUACAGCUUUCUAGAGAACAGAAGCACACUGUUGAAGCAUUCUUUUUCCUUCAUGACUGUAUUUUAUAUCAUUACAAUCCAACUCUGAGUAAUAAUAAAUGAAUCUCCUAAGGUUUCUCUAA
This is a long non-coding RNA of Pipra filicauda (Wire-tailed manakin), 600 nucleotides long. RefSeq lists it as uncharacterized. Lineage: Eukaryota; Metazoa; Chordata; Aves; Passeriformes; Pipridae. The transcript has 4 exons. The record is from RefSeq and is a predicted model, not a curated record.